UACGAAGGGUGCAAGCGUUAAUCGGAAUUACUGGGCGUAAAGCGUGCGUAGGUGGUUUUUUAAGUCUGCUGUGAAAGCCCUGGGCUCAACCUGGGAAUGGCGGUGGAUACUGAAAAGCUAGAGUGCGGUAGAGGGGGGUGGAAUUCCCGGUGUAGCGGUGAAAUGCGUAGAGAUCGGGAGGAACAUCAGUGGCGAAGGCGGCGCCCUGGCCUGUUUCUUGACGCUGAGGCGCGAAAGCUAGGGGAGCAAACGGG
RNAcentral lists this ribosomal RNA (254 nucleotides) under uncultured bacterium. RNAcentral describes it as "partial 16S ribosomal RNA". It matches the Rfam family "Bacterial small subunit ribosomal RNA", at positions 524 to 776 of the family's 1533-position model. The record is from RNAcentral.